RNAcentral lists this ribosomal RNA (253 nucleotides) under uncultured bacterium. RNAcentral describes it as "partial 16S ribosomal RNA". It matches the Rfam family "Bacterial small subunit ribosomal RNA", at positions 524 to 776 of the family's 1533-position model. The record is from RNAcentral.
UACGGAGGGUGCAAGCGUUAUCCGGAUUCACUGGGUUUAAAGGGUGCGUAGGCGGGCAGGUAAGUCCGGGGUGAAAUCUCUGAGCUUAACUCAGAAACUGCCAUGGAUACUAUUUGUCUUGAAUGUUGUGGAGGUAAGCGGAAUAUGUCAUGUAGCGGUGAAAUGCUUAGAUAUGACAUAGAACACCCAUUGCGAAGGCAGCUUACUACACAAAUAUUGACGCUGAGGCACGAAAGCGUGGGGAUCAAACAGG